This 33-nucleotide ribosomal RNA is filed under the name Metschnikowia pulcherrima. RNAcentral's name for it is "partial 18S ribosomal RNA". Lineage: Eukaryota; Fungi; Ascomycota; Pichiomycetes; Serinales; Metschnikowiaceae. The record is from RNAcentral. RNAcentral also lists the same sequence under 9 other names.
UUUCCGUAGGUGAACCUGCGGAAGGAUCAUUAA